Molecule: ribosomal RNA, 395 nt
Filed under: uncultured bacterium
Lineage: Bacteria
Description: partial 16S ribosomal RNA
Rfam family: Bacterial small subunit ribosomal RNA
Source: RNAcentral
CCUACGGGAGGCAGCAGUGAGGAAUAUUGGUCAAUGGGCGCGAGCCUGAACCAGCCAAGCCGCGUGAGGGAGGACGGCCCUACGGGUUGUAAACCUCUUUUGUCAGGGAAUAAAGUCAGGCACGUGUCCCUGUUUGUGUGUACUUGAUGAAAAAGCAUCGGCUAACUCCGUGCCAGCAGCCGCGGUAAUACGGAGGAUGCGAGCGUUAUCCGGAUUUAUUGGGUUUAAAGGGUGCGUAGGCGGGUUGUUAAGUCAGCGGUGAAAGUUGGGGGCUCAACCGUCGACUUGCAUUUGAAACUGGCAGUCUUGAGUAGAGGUGAGGUAGGCGGAAUGCGCGGUGUAGCGGUGAAAUGCAUAGAUAUCACGCAGAACUCCGAUUGCGAAGGCAGCUUACC